CGCCUCCGGAAGGGCGGAGCAGCCGAGCGGGUCGGCCAGAAUUUUUACGCAUGGCGGAAAGCGAAGAGGCGGAUUUGGAUGCCUUCCUCGACAAAUUUCAGGGCCCGCAGCGCUACGAGGGGGCCUUCAAUCCGACGACAUGGGAGCAGGAAUUUGAUCAGAUUCCAAUGUUCAUGAAGAAUGCUCCUUCUGAAAUAAAUCCUAAGCAGAACCCUGAUCUGGCAUGCCUUCAGUCUAUCAUUUUUGAUGAAGAGCACAGUCCUGAAGAGCAAUCUAAGACUUACAAGAAUGAAGGUAAUGAUUAUUUCAAAGAAAAGGAUUAUAAGAAGGCCGUGAUAUCUUAUACAGAAGGACUAAAAAAGAAAUGUAAUGACCCGGAGUUGAAUACAGUACUUCUUACGAACAGAGCGGCAGCCCACUUUUACCUGGGCAACUAUCGCUCUGCUCUGAAUGAUGCUAUUGCAGCAAGAAAACUGAAACCCAGCCACCUCAAAGCAGUAGUAAGGGGAGCACUGUGCCAUAUGGAACUCAAGCAUUUCUCUGAAGCUAUGGCAUGGUGUGAGGAGGGGCUGAAAUUAGAUCCAAAGGAAAAAAAACUUCUGGAAAUAAGAACAAAAGCAGACAGACUUAAGCGUGCAGAAGAGCGAGAUUUGAGAAAAGCAAAAUUUCAGGAGAAGAGGGAACAGUCUCAGAAAGAGGCCUUAUUUAAAGCUAUUAAGGAUCAAAACAUCAAAUUGUCUCCAGUGGCCUCUAAAGAUGAGACGGCAGUGUCAACAGACCUUGCGGAGAUGUCUUUAGAUGGACUUAACUCUGAAAGUGGCAUUGGGGCCAAAGUCUGUCUAGAAGACAAUGGCAGCCUUAUCUGGCCAGUGCUGUUCCUGUACCCUGAGCAUGGACAAACUGACUUCAUCUCUGCUUUUCAUGAAGAAUCCAGAUUUGCUGACCAUUUAGUUGUCAUGUUUGAAGAAUCACCUGCCUGGGAUAUAGAAAGAAAAUAUAUUCCUAAAGAACUAGAGCUUUAUUAUGAGGAUGAAGAAAGAGGAGAUAUAUACCAGAUAAGCAUGGAAACCACAUUGUUAGAAGCGCUGCAGCACAAAAGGUAGACCUUGCCACGCAAGAAAUUGCGAGCAACCUGUCCCUUUCCCAGUUGCAUGGUGAUGUCCAACACAACUCUAUAGUACUUUAUAAAAGCUGGGACUCCUGCCUUUUUAGUCCUGGUGAAAGAUGCUCCUUUCUCUAAAAACUAUUUAUUUGGGAAGAAAGUUCAUCAAUUAAAAUGAAUUAGGAUGACCUCAGCAAGAAAGCAAAGAUGAGCAGUAACUCUAUUUCGUUUUACAGUUUAUGCAGUGUCCUAAAUUGGAAUGUUUUCUGAGUACAUGUUUUUCUGUAACAAUUAGGAUUAACUUACUAGAACUCUGCAGAGAAGGUAUGCAUACAUCAAGUGUCCCAGGCCAAAGGACUUGAAGAGCUCUGUAAUACUAGUAAUUAUACUUUUAACUUUCCUUUUGUAUUUUAAUAACGAAGCCACCUUAUUCCUCCCUCUGUUUUCAAUUAAUAAAAACAGUGAAUAAAAAUAAA
Molecule: RNA transcript, 1578 nt
Organism: Candoia aspera
Lineage: Eukaryota; Metazoa; Chordata; Lepidosauria; Squamata; Candoiidae
Gene: TTC4
Gene name: tetratricopeptide repeat domain 4
Exons: 11
Source: RefSeq, a predicted model, not a curated record